UACGAAGGGGGGCUAGCGUUUGUUCGGAAUUACUGGGCGUAAAGCGCACGUAGGCGGAUAUUUAAGUCAGGGGUGAAAUCCCAGAGCUCAACUCUGGAACUGCCUUUUGAUACUGGGUAUCUUAGUAUGGAAGAGGUAAGUGGAAUUCCGAGUGUAGAGGUGAAAUUCGUAGAUAUUCGGAGGAACACCAGUGGCGAAGGCGGCUUUACUGGUCCAUUACUGACGCUGA
Molecule: ribosomal RNA, 229 nt
Filed under: uncultured bacterium
Lineage: Bacteria
Description: partial 16S ribosomal RNA
Rfam family: Bacterial small subunit ribosomal RNA
Source: RNAcentral